GAAGUUAAUGAUUACGUUGAAGAUUUGAAUAUGAAUCGUUGCACUUUGCACUCGUCUCAGGGUUCUUCAUUCGUGGCAUCAAAUGUAAAGUAAAAAUGCAUCUCAGUCCUUAUAUUAGUUCAUUUAGAAAGUUAGUUUAUUUUUUUGGAAAAGAUUCAAAGAUAACUCUUUAACUCAUGAUGAACUUAUAUCAAAUAAACUAACGGUUUUAA
This 212-nucleotide long non-coding RNA is filed under the name Trifolium pratense (red clover). RNAcentral's name for it is "long non-coding RNA (TPRA_LNC010000)". The record is from RNAcentral. Lineage: Eukaryota; Viridiplantae; Streptophyta; Magnoliopsida; Fabales; Fabaceae.